GAUGAACGCUGGCGGCGUGCCUAAUACAUGCAAGUCGAGCGAACAGACGAGGAGCUUGCUCCUCUGACGUUAGCGGCGGACGGGUGAGUAACACGUGGAUAACCUACCUAUAAGACUGGGAUAACUUCGGGAAACCGGAGCUACUACCGGAUAAUAUAUUGAACCGCAUGGUUCAAUAGUGAAAGACGGUUUUGCUGUCACUUAUAGAUGGAUCCGCGCCGCAUUAGCUAGUUGGUAAGGUAACGGCUUACCAAGGCAACGAUGCGUAGCCGACCUGAGAGGGGGAUCGGCCACACUGGACCUGAGACACGGUCCAGACUCCUACGGGAGGCAGCAGUAGGGAAUCUUCCGCAAUGGGCGAAAGCCUGACGGAGCAACGCCGCGUGAGGGAUGAAGGUCUUCGGAUCGUAAAACUCUGUUAUUAGGGAAGAACAAAUGUGUAAGUAACUAUGCACGUCUUGACGGUACCUAAUCAGAAAGCCACGCCUAACUACGU
Molecule: ribosomal RNA, 496 nt
Filed under: uncultured bacterium
Lineage: Bacteria
Description: partial 16S ribosomal RNA
Rfam family: Bacterial small subunit ribosomal RNA
Source: RNAcentral